Molecule: ribosomal RNA, 1417 nt
Filed under: Salmonella enterica subsp. enterica
Lineage: Bacteria; Pseudomonadati; Pseudomonadota; Gammaproteobacteria; Enterobacterales; Enterobacteriaceae
Description: partial 23S ribosomal RNA
Rfam family: Bacterial large subunit ribosomal RNA
Source: RNAcentral
CCAAAGCAUUCUCUGGUGUUGAAGGCCCUGCAAAGCAGCAUCGCGGUGGCGGAGCGUCGUUUGCGACGCCCAACACACAAAACAAGCGGUGAGUGCUUUGGGGUGGGGUGACUGCGUACCUUUUGUAUAAUGGGUCAGCGACUUAUAUUCUGUAGCAAGGUUAACCGAAUAGGGGAGCCGGAGGGAAACCGAGUCUUAAUUGGGCGUUAAGUUGCAGGGUAUAGACCCGAAACCCGGUGAUCUAGCCAUGGGCAGGUUGAAGGUUGGGUAACACUAACUGGAGGACCGAACCGACUAAUGUUGAAAAAUUAGCGGAUGACCUGUGGCUGGGGGUGAAAGGCCAAUCAAACCGGGAGAUAGCUGGUUCUCCCCGAAAGCUAUUUAGGUAGCGCCUCGUGAAUUCAUCUCCGGGGGUAGAGCACUGUUUCGGCUAGGGGGCCAUCCCGGCUUACCAACCCGAUGCAAACUGCGAAUACCGGAGAAUGUUAUCACGGGAGACACACGGCGGGUGCUAACGUCCGUCGUGAAGAGGGAAACAACCCAGACCGCCAGCUAAGGUCCCAAAGUCAUGGUUAAGUGGGAAACGAUGUGGGAAGGCCCAGACAGCCAGGAUGUUGGCUUAGAAGCAGCCAUCAUUUAAAGAAAGCGUAAUAGCUCACUGGUCGAGUCGGCCUGCGCGGAAGAUGUAACGGGGCUAAACCAUGCACCGAAGCUGCGGCAGCGACGCUUAUGCGUUGUUGGGUAGGGGAGCGUUCUGUAAGCCUGCGAAGGUGGCCUGUGAGGGUUGCUGGAGGUAUCAGAAGUGCGAAUGCUGACAUAAGUAACGAUAAAGCGGGUGAAAAGCCCGCUCGCCGGAAGACCAAGGGUUCCUGUCCAACGUUAAUCGGGGCAGGGUGAGUCGACCCCUAAGGCGAGGCCGAAAGGCGUAGUCGAUGGGAAACGGGUUAAUAUUCCCGUACUUGGUGUUACUGCGAAGGGGGGACGGAGAAGGCUAUGUUGGCCGGGCGACGGUUGUCCCGGUUUAAGCGUGUAGGUGUGUGUUCCAGGUAAAUCCGGUUCACUUUAACACUGAGGCGUGAUGACGAGGCACUACGGUGCUGAAGCAACAAAUGCCCUGCUUCCAGGAAAAGCCUCUAAGCAUCAGGUAACAUCAAAUCGUACCCCAAACCGACACAGGUGGUCAGGUAGAGAAUACCAAGGCGCUUGAGAGAACUCGGGUGAAGGAACUAGGCAAAAUGGUGCCGUAACUUCGGGAGAAGGCACGCUGACAUGUAGGUGAAGUGAUUUACUCAUGGAGCUGAAGUCAGUCGAAGAUACCAGCUGGCUGCAACUGUUUAUUAAAAACACAGCACUGUGCAAACACGAAAGUGGACGUAUACGGUGUGACGCCUGCCCGGUGCCGGAAGGUUAAUUGAUG